AUUGAACGCUGGCGGCAGGCCUAACACAUGCAAGUCGAGCGGAUGAAGGGAGCUUGCUCCUGGAUUCAGCGGCGGACGGGUAAGUAAUGCCUAGGAAUCUGCCUGGUAGUGGGGGAUAACGUCCGGAAACGGGCGCUAAUACCGCACACGUCAUGAGGGAGAACGUGGGGGAUCUUCGGACCUCACGCUCUCAGAUGACCCUAGGUCGGAUUAGCUAGUUGGUGGGGUAAAGGCCUACCAAGGCGACGAUCCGUAACUGGUCUGAGAGGAUGAUCAGUCACACUGGAACUGAGACACGGUCCAGACUCCUACGGGAGGCAGCAGUGGGGAAUAUUGGACAAUGGGCGAAAGCCUGAUCCAGCCAUGCCGCGUGUGUGAAGAAGGUCUUCGGAUUGUAAAGCACUUUAAUUUGGGAAGAAGGGCAGUAAGUUAAUACCUUGCUGUUUUGACGGUACCAACAGAAUAAGCACCGGCUAACUUCGUG
This 484-nucleotide ribosomal RNA is filed under the name uncultured bacterium. RNAcentral describes it as "partial 16S ribosomal RNA". It matches the Rfam family "Bacterial small subunit ribosomal RNA", at positions 30 to 507 of the family's 1533-position model. The record is from RNAcentral.